GAAGAUCAUAGCAACACUGCUCGUGACCCUGGUCGUAUGCUUGUGCAUUAAUGGUAUUUUUGGUUACCCAACAACAUCCAAAUCUAAUUCCUAUACAUCUAAAUAUGAUUUGUCCACGGCAAACUAUGGUACAAACAAAUAUGUUAAUACGAAAUAUGGUCCGUCCCCAACAGCCCAAUAUAGACAGACUACACAAGGAUAUGUUGUACGAAGCACACCAAUAUACGUCAAAACAAUAGCAAGAUACGCCAAAACCACAGCAAAACCGAAGAAAUCUUGGUUUUUUAAAAACUAAAAUCUAGUAAUAGACUUUGACUAAAUCCAAUAGUAAA
Long non-coding RNA from Patella vulgata (common limpet), 332 nucleotides. RefSeq lists it as uncharacterized. The record is from RefSeq and is a predicted model, not a curated record. Lineage: Eukaryota; Metazoa; Mollusca; Gastropoda; Patellidae. The transcript is spliced from 2 exons.